GCGUAAGCAUUCAACCUAAAUUCACUCGUUCUCGUAGAAAAAGAGAGAAAAAGAAACGCGUUUAAGAAUCGUGAGAUGGUGCGGCCAUGAAAUGGGAUUUAUUUCCGUGCACGCCCGCUAAUCGGCAUGAAGAAAAAUAUUAGGAAAUAGUGCAAGUAACAAAGGAAGACGAAGUAAAUUUAGGAGGCGUCAUCUUCUUCAACGCGCCUGGCAGCGUUCCACCAGGUAGUCUGUGGCCCCGCGUCCGCUGUGGUCAAGAGGGAAGCGAAGGAGACAGCUUCAUCUGCUGACCGCCGCCUGUUUUCCAGGAUUCGGCUUCCCGACACCCCAGUAGGACGUGGAGUACGGUCAGCCUCUCCCCGCAUCUACCGCAGGUUGGAGGCUCACUUCCGAUGAAGGAAGAGGUUGUUGAUGUAGCCACCAUGGGUGGUGUCACGGCUUACAACAGUGUCCGCAGUGCUGUACUACAGCCAUCAUCCCAUGGCAAUUAGGAUCCUACUAAUUCAAAAUUUUCUUUUCAAAUACCACUUUAACAAAGACCUCAUAACGGCAUGUGAAAACCAGGCCGUGUUCCAUGACGUGGGAACCCUCGUUCACUUGCAAGAAAUAUUCACGUCAUUUACAUCCCGAACAAUUUAUGAGGACUGUGUCCCACUCCUUCUCUUAAUAUUUGGACCGGACGAUGACAAAAUUAUCCAUUAUGCAAUAGCUUUCUUUUUCAUCGUGGCCUUCAUUAAUGGCCUCCAUUGGAGGUAUUUCAUCGUUCACCACUCCUUCCCCCACGCAAGCAUGGUUCGUAGGCUGGUGGUCUUUUUCUACAUAUGCCUGAGUCUCGUCAGCACCAUCGGCCUACUCAUAGCGUUUGUUGGGAAGGAGGCAUCCAAGAUUCGUGCAAGAUACAACGAGGACCUGCACGUCCGUGCCGCAGAGUGGCACGAUUAUUUCUGUGCGCUGGAAUUAGCCGUGGCAACGGCGUACUUCUUGCAACCACUCGUGUUCCGCUGGGUGAGCAAUGAGUAGGUGAAGGGAGCAACAGCGUCUUGCGCCAGCCGCUGCCACCAGCCACUGCCACCAGUGCCACAACUCAUUUCAAGGUGUUCUUCUGCCCGCAUUAGGAAGCUGUACAAGUCACCAAACUUUGUGUAAAUAAAUAAACAUUGCAUGUAGAAAUGA
Long non-coding RNA from Dermacentor albipictus, 1173 nucleotides. RefSeq lists it as uncharacterized. NCBI's taxonomy places the organism in Eukaryota, Metazoa, Arthropoda, Arachnida, Ixodida, Ixodidae. The record is from RefSeq and is a predicted model, not a curated record.